RNAcentral lists this ribosomal RNA (648 nucleotides) under Klebsiella sp. INBio3079C. RNAcentral describes it as "bacterial SSU rRNA". It matches the Rfam family "Bacterial small subunit ribosomal RNA", at positions 100 to 738 of the family's 1533-position model. Lineage: Bacteria; Pseudomonadati; Pseudomonadota; Gammaproteobacteria; Enterobacterales; Enterobacteriaceae. The record is from RNAcentral.
GGACGGGUGAGUAAUGUCUGGGAAACUGCCUGAUGGAGGGGGAUAACUACUGGAAACGGUAGCUAAUACCGCAUAACGUCGCAAGACCAAAGUGGGGGACCUUUGGGCCUCAUGCCAUCAGAUGUGCCCAGAUGGGAUUAGCUAGUAGGUGAGGUAAUGGCUCACCUAGGCGACGAUCCCUAGCUGGUCUGAGAGGAUGACCAGCCACACUGGAACUGAGACACGGUCCAGACUCCUACGGGAGGCAGCAGUGGGGAAUAUUGCACAAUGGGCGCAAGCCUGAUGCAGCCAUGCCGCGUGUAUGAAGAAGGCCUUCGGGUUGUAAAGUACUUUCAGCGAGGAGGAAGGCAUUAAGGUUAAUAACCUUAGUGAUUGACGUUACUCGCAGAAGAAGCACCGGCUAACUCCGUGCCAGCAGCCGCGGUAAUACGGAGGGUGCAAGCGUUAAUCGGAAUUACUGGGCGUAAAGCGCACGCAGGCGGUCUGUCAAGUCGGAUGUGAAAUCCCCGGGCUCAACCUGGGAAGCUGCAUCCGAAACUGGCAGGCUAGAGUCUUGUAGAGGGGGGUAGAAUUCCAGGUGUAGCGGUGAAAUGCGUAGAGAUCUGGAGGAAUAACCGGUGGGCGAAAGGGCGGACCCCCUGAUCAAAG